This 253-nucleotide ribosomal RNA is filed under the name uncultured bacterium. RNAcentral's name for it is "partial 16S ribosomal RNA". It matches the Rfam family "Bacterial small subunit ribosomal RNA", at positions 524 to 776 of the family's 1533-position model. The record is from RNAcentral.
UACGAGAGGCCCAAACGUUAUUCGGAUUUACUGGGCUUAAAGAGUUCGUAGGCGGUGCAGAAAGUGGGGUGUGAAAGCCCUCGGCUCAACCGAGGAAUUGCGCUCCAAACUACUGUGCUAGAGGAAGCUAGAGGUGAGCAGAACAGAUGGUGGAGCGGUGAAAUGCGUUGAUAUCGGGAGGAACACCAGUGGCGAAGGCGGCGCUCUGGGCCGGAACUGACGCUGAGGAGCGAAAGCAUGGGUAGCGAACAGG